GGCAGCCGCCGCGGGAACACCGGCGGCCCGAGUGGUGAUCGUGAUUAUUGGGUCUAAAGGGUCCGUAGCCGGUUGGUCAGUCCUCCGGGAAAUCUGAUAGCUCAACUAUUAGGCUUUCGGGGGAUACUGCCAGACUUGGAACCGGGAGAGGUAAGAGGUACUACAGGGGUAGGAGUGAAAUCUUGUAAUCCCCGUGGGACCACCUGUGGCGAAGGCGUCUUACCAGAACGGGUUCGACGGUGAGGGACGAAAGCUGGGGGCACGAACCGGAUUAGAUACCCGGGUAGUCCCAGCCGUAAACGAUGCUCGCUAGGUGUCAGGCAUGGCGCGACCGUGUCUGGUGCCGCAGGGAAGCCGUGAAGCGAGCCACCUGGGAAGUACGGCCGCAAGGCUGAAACUUAAAGGAAUUGGCGGGGGAGCACAACAACGGGUGGAAGCCUGCGGUUUAAUUGGACUCAACGCCGGACAACUCACCGGGGGCGACAGCAAUAUGUAGGCCAAGCUGAAGACUUUGCCUGAAUCGCUGAGGAGUGGUGCAUGG
RNAcentral lists this ribosomal RNA (541 nucleotides) under uncultured archaeon. RNAcentral describes it as "bacterial SSU rRNA". It matches the Rfam family "Archaeal small subunit ribosomal RNA", at positions 457 to 997 of the family's 1478-position model. The record is from RNAcentral.